Long non-coding RNA from Eurytemora carolleeae, 2041 nucleotides. RefSeq lists it as uncharacterized. Lineage: Eukaryota; Metazoa; Arthropoda; Copepoda; Calanoida; Temoridae. The record is from RefSeq and is a predicted model, not a curated record. The transcript is spliced from 3 exons.
AGAAAGAUUGGCAUUGCUGCCAGUAAAACACCUUUUCAUUUCGUUGAUGAUAUUUUCGUUACAGGUCUUGCACGAGAAAAGGUUCCAGGAUCCAAAGUAGAAUUCCUUAUUUCCGGAACAUUCUGGAGGUGGUUGUGGAACUAUGUAUUAUCCCCCUGCUCCUUCUUCAAUCUUAUCCAUCUUCACCUACUCCAGGAGGUAGCAGAUACUCCUGAUAAUAAACCUUUUAAGGUAUUCUCCUGUAUUGCACUGGAGUACUUUGGAGGUUUAUACUACUGUUAGUUAACCCUUGAGUACUUUAGAGGUUUAUACUACUGUUAGUUAACCCUGGAGUACUUUGGAGGUUUAUACUACUGUUAGUUAACCCUGGAGUACUUUAGAGGUUUUUACUACUGUUAGUUAACCCAGGAGUACUUUGAAGGUUUAUACUACUGUUAAUAAACCAUGGAGUACUUUGAAGGUUUAUGCUAGUGUUAGUUAACCCUGGAGUACUUUGGAGGUCUUUACUUCUGUUAGUUAACCCUGGAGUACUUUGGAGGUUUAUACUACUAUUAGUUACUACUGAAGUACUUUGGAGGUUUAUACUACUGCUAUUUAACCCUGGAGUACUUUGGAGGUUUAUACUACUGUUAGGUAACCCUGGAGUACUUUCAAGGUUUAUACUACUUUUACUUACCCCUGGAGUACUUUUGAAGUUUAUACUACUUUUAGUUACACCUGGAGUACUUUAGAGGUUUUUACUAGUUUUAGUUACCCCUGGAGUACUUUAGAGGUUUUUACUACUGUUAGUUUACCCUGGAGUACUUUGGAGGUUCAUACAUACAUGUAAGUUAAAUCUGGAGUACUUUGGAGGUUUAUACUACUGUUAGUUAACCCUGGAGUACUUUCAAGGUUUACACUACUGUUAGUUAACCCUGGAGUACUUUGGAGGUUUAUACUACUGUUUGUUAACACUGGAGUACUUUGGAGGUUUAUACUACUGUUAGUUCACCCUGGAGUACUUUGAAGGUUUAUGCUACUGUUAGUUAACCCUGGAGUAAUUUCAAGGUUUAUACUACUUUUAGUAACCCCUGGAGUACUUUUGAAGUUUAUACUACUUUUAGUUACACCUGGAGUACUUUAGAGGUUUUUACUACUUUUAGUUACCCCUGGAGUACUUUAGAGGUUUUUACUACUGUUAGUUUACCCUGGAGUACUUUGGAGGUUCAUACAUACAUGUAGGUUAAACCUGGAGUACUUUGGAGGUUAAUGCUACUGUUAGUCAACCCUGGAGUACUUUAGAGGUUUUUACGACUGUUAGUUAACCCAGGAGUACUUUGGAGGUUUAUACUACUGUUAGUUAACCCUGGAGUAAUUUGGAGGUUCAUACUACUGUUAGUUAACCCUGGAGUACUUUGGAGGUUUAUACUACUGUUAGUUAACCCUGGAGUAAUUUGGAGGUUUAUACUACUGUUAGUUAACACUGGAGUACUUUGGAGGUUUAUACUACUGUUAAUAAACCAUGGAGUACUUUGAAGGUUCAUACUAGUGUUAGUUAACCCUGGAGUACUUUGGAGGUCUUUACUACUGUUAGUUAACCCUGGAGUACUUUGGAGGUUUAUACUACUAUUAGUUAACACUGAAGUACUUUGGAGGUUUAUACUACUGCUAUUUAACCCUGGAGUACUUUGGAGGUCUUUACUACUAUUAGUUAACCCUGGAGUACUUUGGAGGUUAAUGCUACUGUCAGUUAACCCUGAAGUAAUUGGAGAUUUUCCUGUAUCUGUUAACCUGGCCAUGAGUGCUUGAGAAUCCUUUAUUGGUAAUUAGAAACCUGUUGAAUAGUUCCAGUUUUAUUUGUUUCUUUUGCUUUUAAAUUUAACUGAACAUAACUAAAACUUUAAAUUGUUCAAAUCGAAAUCAAAUCAGUCAUAAUAUACAAAUCCAUGAAGUUAUUUAAUUAUUUGAAUAGAUUAAGAGGACAACAAUUAUCCCACUGGUUUCUGGGUACCACUGUAUGUUGUAUUGAUUAUGUUUUAUGUUGUAUCUCUUAAAGAAUAUA